AUUGAACGCUGGCGGCAUGCUUUACACAUGCAAGUCGGACGGCAGCACAGAGAAGCUUGCUUCUUGGGUGGCGAGUGGCGAACGGGUGAGUAACGCAUCGGAACGUACCGAGUAGUGGGGGAUAACUGUCCGAAAGGAUGGCUAAUACCGCAUACGCUUUGAGAAGGAAAGCGGGGGAUCUUCGGACCUCGCGCUAUUCGAGCGGCCGAUGUCUGAUUAGCUAGUUGGUGGGGUAAAGGCCUACCAAGGCGACGAUCAGUAGCGGGUCUGAGAGGAUGAUCCGCCACACUGGGACUGAGACACGGCCCAGACUCCUACGGGAGGCAGCAGUGGGGAAUUUUGGACAAUGGGCGCAAGCCUGAUCCAGCCAUGCCGCGUGUCUGAAGAAGGCCUUCGGGUUGUAAAGGACUUUUGUCAGGGAAGAAAAGCUUUGGGUUAAUACCCUGGAGUGAUGACGGUACCUGAAGAAUAAGCACCGGCUAACUACGUGCCAGCAGCCGCGGUAAUACGUAGGGUGCGAGCGUUAAUCGGAAUUACUGGGCGUAAAGCGAGCGCAGACGGUUUGUUAAGCAGGAUGUGAAAUCCCCGGGCUCAACCUGGGAACUGCGUUCUGAACUGGCAGGCUAGAGUAUGUCAGAGGGGGGUAGAAUUCCACGUGUAGCAGUGAAAUGCGUAGAGAUGUGGAGGAAUACCGAUGGCGAAGGCAGCCCCCUGGGAUAAUACUGACGUUCAUGCUCGAAAGCGUGGGUAGCAAACAGGAUUAGAUACCCUGGUAGUCCACGCCCUAAACGAUGUCAAUUAGCUGUUGGGGURCUUGAYRCCUUAGUAGCGUAGCUAACGCGUGAAAUUGACCGCCUGGGGAGUACGGUCGCAAGAUUAAAACUCAAAGGAAUUGACGGGGACCCGCACAAGCGGUGGAUGAUGUGGAUUAAUUCGAUGCAACGCGAAGAACCUUACCUGGUCUUGACAUGUACGGAAUCCUCCAGAGACGGAGGAGUGCCUUCGGGAGCCGUAACACAGGUGCUGCAUGGCUGUCGUCAGCUCGUGUCGUGAGAUGUUGGGUUAAGUCCCGCAACGAGCGCAACCCUUGUCAUUAGUUGCCAUCAUUUAGUUGGGCACUCUAAUGAGACUGCCGGUGACAAACCGGAGGAAGGUGGGGAUGACGUCAAGUCCUCAUGGCCCUUAUGACCAGGGCUUCACACGUCAUACAAUGGUCGGUACAGAGGGUAGCCAAGCCGCGAGGCGGAGCCAAUCCCAAAAAACCGAUCGUAGUCCGGAUUGCACUCUGCAACUCGAGUGCAUGAAGUCGGAAUCGCUAGUAAUCGCAGGUCAGCAUACUGCGGUGAAUACGUUCCCGGGUCUUGUACACACCGCCCGUCACACCAUGGGAGUGGGGGAUACCAGAAGUAGGUAGGGUAACCGCAAGGAGCCCGCUUACCACGGUAUGCUUCAUGACUGGGGUG
Molecule: ribosomal RNA, 1463 nt
Filed under: Neisseria gonorrhoeae
Lineage: Bacteria; Pseudomonadati; Pseudomonadota; Betaproteobacteria; Neisseriales; Neisseriaceae
Also listed under: 1 other name
Description: bacterial SSU rRNA
Rfam family: Bacterial small subunit ribosomal RNA
Source: RNAcentral